This is a non-coding RNA of Kogia breviceps (pygmy sperm whale), 74 nucleotides long. The record is from the annotation of a RefSeq genome assembly. NCBI's taxonomy places the organism in Eukaryota, Metazoa, Chordata, Mammalia, Artiodactyla, Physeteridae.
UCCCUGGUGGUCCUGUGGUUAAAGACUCUGCGCUCCGGAUGCAGGGGGCCCAGGUUCAAUCCCUGGUCAGGGAA